GAUGAACGCUGGCGGCGUGCCUAAUACAUGCAAGUCGAGCGAACGGACGAGAAGCUUGCUUCUCUGAAGUUAGCGGCGGACGGGUGAGUAACACGUGGAUAACCUACCUAUAAGACUGGGGUAACUUCGGGAAACCGGAGCUAAUACCGGAUAAUAUGUUGAACCGCAUGGUUCAAAAGUGAAAGACGUUCUUGCUGUCACUUAUAGAUGGAUCCGCGCUGCAUUAGCUAGUUGGUAAGGUAACGGCUUACCAAGGCAACGAUGCGUAGCCGACCUGAGAGGGUGAUCGGCCACACUGGAACUGAGACACGGUCCAGACUCCUACGGGAGGCAGCAGUGGGGAAUAUUGCGCAAUGGGCGAAAGCCUGAUCGAGCCACGCCGCGUGAGUGAUGAAGGUCUUCGGAUCGUAAAACUCUGUUAUUAGGGAAGAACAUAUGUAUAAGUAACUGUGCACAUCUUGACGGUACCUAAUCAGAAAGCCACGGCUAACUACGUG
This 497-nucleotide ribosomal RNA is filed under the name uncultured bacterium. RNAcentral's name for it is "partial 16S ribosomal RNA". It matches the Rfam family "Bacterial small subunit ribosomal RNA", at positions 28 to 507 of the family's 1533-position model. The record is from RNAcentral.